RNAcentral lists this non-coding RNA (135 nucleotides) under Ruegeria sp. E923. Its description in RNAcentral is "Silicibacter sp. FMN sequence". It matches the Rfam family "FMN riboswitch aptamer (RFN element)". From Rfam's summary of the family: The RFN element is a highly conserved domain that is found frequently in the 5'-untranslated regions of prokaryotic mRNAs that encode for flavin mononucleotide (FMN) biosynthesis and transport proteins. This element is a metabolite-dependent riboswitch that directly binds FMN in the absence of proteins. RNAcentral also lists the same sequence under 2 other names. Lineage: Bacteria; Pseudomonadati; Pseudomonadota; Alphaproteobacteria; Rhodobacterales; Roseobacteraceae. The record is from RNAcentral.
CGAUAUUCUCAGGGCAGGGUGAAAGUCCCUACCGGUGGUCACAGCCCACGAGCGGCCCUUGGUUUGACAAGGGUGACAGCAGACCCGGCGCAAUUCCGGGGCCGACGGUUACAGUCCGGAUGAAAGAGAAUGGAG